Molecule: long non-coding RNA, 814 nt
Filed under: Salvia miltiorrhiza (redroot sage)
Lineage: Eukaryota; Viridiplantae; Streptophyta; Magnoliopsida; Lamiales; Lamiaceae
Description: long non-coding RNA (SMIL_LNC005070)
Source: RNAcentral
CGUUUCCUUCUCUGCCGGAUCUCCACAGCGCCUCGCCGUUUCCGCCGAGCCCCCGCGCCGCUGCCCGCCGCGCGCCGCCCUGCUGCCUGCGUCGUGCCUGUGCCUCCCGGAUCCGCCCUCUGCUGCCAGCGCCGGAUUCGUCCACUACCAGCGCCGGAUCCAUCCGCCGCCACCGGUCCUCUCCGCCACUGCACCGGUCCUCCUCCUUCGGCCUCAAGUUCACACCGCCUCUCAGUCAGCCAUCCCGCGCCCGAACGCCCAGCGGCCCCCUGCUGCCUGCGCCGCUGCCUGUGCCUCCCCGGAUCCGCGCCUCUGCUGCCAGCGCCGGAUUCGUCCACUACCAGCGCCGGAUCCAUCCGCCACCCGCGACCAGUCGCCGCCGGUUUCAGCGCAGACGCCCGGGCCGCACCGAUCAGCCUCCUCCGUCAGCAGCGCUGCAAGUUUGUAGCAGACGUCUUCUCCAGCUACAUCAGUCCGGCAGCAGCAGUGCGAUUCUUGAGCCUUCACAGCAGCAGCCAGCAGAUUCGCAGCCCUGAGGUCUCUGCCGGCCCACCUUCGCUCACAGAUCCGCCGCCCAGAAGCCCAUUCCGGCCACGCCCAACGCACCGUGCCACUCACCCACGACCAGUCGCCACUGCUGUCACGCCGCUUUGUCCCAACCGAACGGGCAGUCAGUCCUACCUCUUUUAAAGCUAAGUUCUACUACCUUAUCUCGGGUGAUGUUCAGUUGAUAUGGAGGCGAACUGAAUUGAGCAAUUGAGACAGCAAAUUACCUUGAAUGUUUUCAAGCAGAUGGGUUGUUGUUGGGGUUGAA